AACCUCCGCAAUGCGAGCAAUCGCGACGGGGGGACCCCAAGUGCCACUUUAGCGGGGUGGCUUUUAUGAAGUGCUUCAAGAUAAGAGCUGGCAAGACCGGUGCCAGCCGCCGCGGUAACACCGGCAGCUCUAGUGGUAGCCAUUUUUAUUGGGCCUAAAGCGUUCGUAGCCGGUUUGAUAAGUCUCUGGUGAAAUCCUAUAGCUUAACUGUGGGACUGCUGGAGAUACUAUUAGACUUGAGGUCGGAGAGGUUAGCGGUACUCCCAGGGUAGGGGUGAAAUCCUGUAAUCCUGGGAGACCACCUGUGGCGAAGGCGGCUAACUGGAACGACCUGACGGUGAGGGACGAAAGCCGGGGGCACGAACCGGAUUAGAUACCCGGGUAGUCCCAGCUGUAACGAUGCAGACUCGGUGAUGGG
RNAcentral lists this ribosomal RNA (418 nucleotides) under uncultured archaeon. RNAcentral describes it as "bacterial SSU rRNA". It matches the Rfam family "Archaeal small subunit ribosomal RNA", at positions 345 to 778 of the family's 1478-position model. The record is from RNAcentral.